GUGAAUAUAGUUUAAUGGUAAAAUUCCUCAGUGUCAUUGAGGCAGCUGCGGGUUCGAAUCCCGUUGUUCACG
RNAcentral lists this transfer RNA (72 nucleotides) under Sporobolomyces roseus. RNAcentral's name for it is "tRNA-Asp". It matches the Rfam family "tRNA". From Rfam's summary of the family: Transfer RNA (tRNA) molecules are approximately 80 nucleotides in length. Their secondary structure includes four short double-helical elements and three loops (D, anti-codon, and T loops). Further hydrogen bonds mediate the characteristic L-shaped molecular structure. tRNAs have two regions of fundamental functional importance: the anti-codon, which is responsible for specific mRNA codon recognition, and the 3' end, to which the tRNAs corresponding amino acid is attached (by aminoacyl-tRNA synthetases). tRNAs cope with the degeneracy of the genetic code in two manners: having more than one tRNA (with a specific anti-codon) for a particular amino acid; and 'wobble' base-pairing, i.e. permitting non-standard base-pairing at the 3rd anti-codon position. Lineage: Eukaryota; Fungi; Basidiomycota; Microbotryomycetes; Sporidiobolales; Sporidiobolaceae. The record is from RNAcentral. RNAcentral also lists the same sequence under 1 other name.